GGAGAGCAUGGAUAAACAGGCAUUAAACUGGAGCUGAGGAUGAUGAAUUCAAGAACAAAGGGGGAGAUGUGAACAUUGGAGGAGAAGGUCCCAUGGAUAAACAGGCAUUAAACUGGAGCUGAGGAUGAUGAAUUCAAGAACAAAGGAGGAGAUGUGAACAUUGGAGGAGAAGGUAUAAGAAUUUAAGGCUAAUCAUUUUUGAGUGAUUUAUUUUGCAGGAUUUCAAGACUUCAAGACUCCUAGUUGCGUCUAAGUCAUAGAGUCUGUUUUAGGAGUUUUGAUGUAAUUCUGAGUUUCAUAUUGUAUUUGGAUUACACGCGAGGGGUUCGAUGUUUUGGUGAUGACAUUGAACUUCGUUUUCUCUUUAAAUUGUAAUUUUUGAGUUUGUGUGAGUUUUGUCACGAAAUUGCCAAAGGGGGAGAUUGUUAAGGAUUUUGUAUUGGCAAGUUUCGUGAAGUGAGUCGGAGUCUUGAAGAACCGGUACAUAUCGUCGAAGAUCGAAGAAUUCAAGAUUUCGAAGAAGUUGGAAAAUAACUCACGAUAUGAAUCACGAUGCUCAGGUAAAGUUUUAAUUCAUAUU
RNAcentral lists this long non-coding RNA (580 nucleotides) under Ananas comosus (pineapple). RNAcentral's name for it is "long non-coding RNA (ACOM_LNC038486)". The record is from RNAcentral. Lineage: Eukaryota; Viridiplantae; Streptophyta; Magnoliopsida; Poales; Bromeliaceae.